GUGCCAGCAGCCGCGGUAAUACGUAGGGUGCGAGCGUUAAUCGGAAUUACUGGGCGUAAAGCGUGCGCAGGCGGUUUAUCAAGUCUGAUGUGAAAGCCCCGGGCUUAACCUGGGAACUGCGUUGGAAACUGAUAAACUAGAGUACGGCAGAGGGGGGUAUAAUUCCACGUGUAGCAGUGAAAUGCGUAGAUAUGUGGAGGAAUACCGAUGGCGAAGGCAGCCCCCUGGGUCGAUACUGACGCUCAUGCACGAAAGCUUGGGUAGCAAACGGGAUUAGAUACCCUGGUAGUCCCCGCCCUAAACGAUGUCAACUAGUUGUUGGGGAGGGAGACUCUCCUUAGUAACG
RNAcentral lists this ribosomal RNA (346 nucleotides) under uncultured Thiobacillus sp. Its description in RNAcentral is "bacterial SSU rRNA". It matches the Rfam family "Bacterial small subunit ribosomal RNA", at positions 505 to 848 of the family's 1533-position model. The record is from RNAcentral. Lineage: Bacteria; Pseudomonadati; Pseudomonadota; Betaproteobacteria; Nitrosomonadales; Thiobacillaceae.